RNAcentral lists this ribosomal RNA (490 nucleotides) under uncultured bacterium. Its description in RNAcentral is "partial 16S ribosomal RNA". It matches the Rfam family "Bacterial small subunit ribosomal RNA", at positions 30 to 507 of the family's 1533-position model. The record is from RNAcentral.
AUUGAACGCUGGCGGCAGGCCUAACACAUGCAAGUCGAACGGUAACAGGAAGCAGCUUGCUGAUUUGCUGACGAGUGGCGGACGGGUGAGUAAUGUCUGGGAAACUGCCCGAUGGAGGGGGAUAACUACUGGAAACGGUAGCUAAUACCGCAUAACGUCGCAAGACCAAAGAGGGGGACCUUAGGGCCUCUUGCCAGCGGAUGCGCCCAGAUGGGAUUAGCUAGUAGGUGGGGUAACGGCUCACCUAGGCGACGAUCCCUAGCUGGUCUGAGAGGGUGACCAGCCACACUGGAACUGAGACACGGUCCAGACUCCUACGGGAGGCAGCAGUGGGGAAUAUUGCACAAUGGGCGCAAGCCUGAUGCAGCCAUGCCGCGUGUAUGAAGAAGGCCUUCGGGUUGUAAAGUCCUUUCAGCGGGGAGGAAGGGAGUAAAGUUAAUACCUUGGCUUAUUGACGGUACCCGCAUAAGAAGCACCGGCUAACUACGUG